RNAcentral lists this ribosomal RNA (445 nucleotides) under uncultured bacterium. RNAcentral describes it as "partial 16S ribosomal RNA". It matches the Rfam family "Bacterial small subunit ribosomal RNA", at positions 354 to 796 of the family's 1533-position model. The record is from RNAcentral.
GUAGGGAAUAUUGGGCAAUGGAUGCAAGUCUGACCCAGCCAUCCCGCGUGCCGGAAGAAGGCCCUCAGGGUUGUAAACGGCUUUUGACGGUGAAGAAUCGACAGGAUGCGUCCUGUUUUGACGGUAGCCGUUGAAUAAGCACCGGCUAACUCCGUGCCAGCAGCCGCGGUAAUACGGAGGGUGCGAGCGUUGUCCGGAUUUAUUGGGUUUAAAGGGUGCGUAGGCUGGAAGGUCAGUCAGCGGUGAAAAGCUGUCGCUUAACGAUAGUCUUGCCGCAGAUACUUCCGUUCUUGGAUGAGGAGGAGGCCACUGGAACGGAUGGUGUAGCGGUGAAAUGCAUAGAUAUCAUCCAGAACACCGAUUGCGAAGGCAGGUGGCUGUACCUUAAUCGACGCUGAUGCACGAAAGCAUGGGGAGCAAACAGGAUUAGAAACCCGGGUAGUCC